GCUCCUCAGCUCCAUGUAGGCUGUGCUCGUGGAUGUGUCUGUGGUCAUGGUGACUCUGCCCUGGAGCUUCUGUGCAUAGUUUGUGUUACCAUUGUAAGCGCUGAUCCCUCCCAUCCACUCAAGCCCUUUUCCAGGAGCCUGUCGCACCCAGUGCAUGGAUAAUUCAGUGAGGGUGUAUCCGGAAACCUUGCAGGAGACCUUCACUGAGGCCCCAGGCUUCUUCACCUCAGCCCCAGACUGUACCAGCUGGACCUGGGCGUGGGUGCCUGUGGAGAGGACAGAGGAGUGGAUGAGACACCACUUAACUGGACCCAGUCCCCUCAUCAGCCCUGGAACUAAG
Molecule: long non-coding RNA, 340 nt
Filed under: Homo sapiens (human)
Lineage: Eukaryota; Metazoa; Chordata; Mammalia; Primates; Hominidae
Description: HSALNT0216939
Source: RNAcentral